UGAGGAAUAUUGGACAAUGGGCGCGAGCCUGAUCCAGCCAUGCCGCGUGCAGGAAGAAGCAUCUAUGGUGUGUAAACUGCUUUUGUACGGGAAGGAACACUCCUUCGUGAAGGAGCUUGACGGUACCGUAAGAAUAAGGAUCGGCUAACUCCGUGCCAGCAGCCGCGGUAAUACGGAGGAUCCAAGCGUUAUCUGGAAUCAUUGGGUUUAAAGGGUCCGUAGGCGGUUUAGUAAGUCAGUGGUGAAAGCCCAUCGCUCAACGAUGGAACGGCCAUUGAUACUGCUAGACUUGAAUUACAAGGAAGUAACUAGAAUAUGUAGUGUAGCGGUGAAAUGCUUAGAUAUUACAUGGAAUACCAAUUGCGAAGGCAGGUUACUACUUGUGGAUUGACGCUGAUGGACGAAAGCGUGGGGAGCGAACA
RNAcentral lists this ribosomal RNA (422 nucleotides) under uncultured bacterium. Its description in RNAcentral is "bacterial SSU rRNA". It matches the Rfam family "Bacterial small subunit ribosomal RNA", at positions 355 to 774 of the family's 1533-position model. The record is from RNAcentral.